This 139-nucleotide ribosomal RNA is filed under the name Astragalus peterae. RNAcentral's name for it is "partial 18S ribosomal RNA". It matches the Rfam family "Eukaryotic small subunit ribosomal RNA", at positions 1698 to 1831 of the family's 1831-position model. The record is from RNAcentral. Lineage: Eukaryota; Viridiplantae; Streptophyta; Magnoliopsida; Fabales; Fabaceae.
UCCGUGAAGUGUUCGGAUUGCGGCGACGUGGGCGGUUCGCUGCCUGCGACGUUGUGAGAAGUCCACUGGAACCUUAUCAUUUAGAGGAAGGAGAAGUCGUAACAAGGUUUCCGUAGGUGAACCUGCGGAAGGAUCAUUG